UACAGGGGGUGCAAACGUUGCUCGGAAUUAUUGGGCGUAAAGCGCGCGUAGGCGGUUUUCUAAGUCGGAUGUGAAAGCCCUUGGCUCAACCGAGGAAGUGCAUCCGAAACUGGAAAGCUAGAGUCCCAAAGAGGAUCGCGGAAUUCCCAGUGUAGAGGUGAAAUUCGUAGAUAUCUGGAGGAACACCGGUGGCGAAGGCGGCAUCCUGGACCGAUACUGACGCUGAGGAGCGAAAGCCAGGGGAGCAAACGGG
RNAcentral lists this ribosomal RNA (253 nucleotides) under uncultured bacterium. RNAcentral describes it as "partial 16S ribosomal RNA". It matches the Rfam family "Bacterial small subunit ribosomal RNA", at positions 524 to 776 of the family's 1533-position model. The record is from RNAcentral.